AGAGUUUGAUCCUGGCUCAGGAUGAACGCUAGCGACAGGCUUAACACAUGCAAGUCGAGGGCAGGGAAGCUUGCUUUCGCUGACGACCGGCGCACGGGUGAGUAACGCGUAUAGAACCUACCUUUUACAGGGGAAUAGCCCAGAGAAAUUUGGAUUAAUGCCCCAUAGUAUUGUUGAAUGGCAUCAUUUAAUAAUUAAACAUUUAUGGGUAAAAGAUGGCUAUGCGUUCUAUUAGCUAGAUGGUAAGGUAACGGCUUACCAUGGCAACGAUAGAUAGGGGUCCUGAGAGGGAGAUCCCCCACACUGGUACUGAGACACGGACCAGACUCCUACGGGAGGCAGCAGUGAGGAAUAUUGGACAAUGGAGGCAACUCUGAUCCAGCCAUGCCGCGUGCAGGAAGACGGCCCUAUGGGUUGUAAACUGCUUUUAUACAGGAAGAAACCUCCCCACGUGUGGGGAGCUGACGGUACUGUAAGAAUAAGGACCGGCUAACUCCGUGCCAGCAGCCGCGGUAAUACGGAGGGUCCAAGCGUUAUCCGGAAUCAUUGGGUUUAAAGGGUCCGUAGGCGGACUAAUAAGUCAGAGGUGAAAUCCCACAGCUUAACUGUGGAACUGCCUUUGAUACUGUUAGUCUUGAGUUAUAUGGAAGUAGAUAGAAUGUGUAGUGUAGCGGUGAAAUGCAUAGAUAUUACACAGAAUACCGAUUGCGAAGGCAGUCUACUACGUAUAUACUGACGCUAAGGGACGAAAGCGUGGGGAGCGAACAGGAUUAGAUACCCUGGUAGUCCACGCCGUAAACGAUGGAUACUAGUUGUUGGAUUAUUUCAGUGACUAAGCGAAAGUGAUAAGUAUCCCACCUGGGGAGUACGGUCGCAAGACUGAAACUCAAAGGAAUUGACGGGGGCCCGCACAAGCACAAGCGGUGGAGCAUGUGGUUUAAUUCGAUGAUACGCGAGGAACCUUACCAGGGCUUAAAUGCAGAACGACAGAUUUGGAAACAAGUCCUUCUUCGGACGGACUGCAAGGUGCUGCAUGGUUGUCGUCAGCUCGUGCCGUGAGGUGUCAGGUUAAGUCCUAUAACGAGCGCAACCCCUACUGUUAGUUGCCAGCGAGUAAUGUCGGGGACUCUAGCGGGACUGCCGGCGUAAGCCGCGAGGAAGGUGGGGAUGACGUCAAAUCAUCACGGCCCUUACGUCCUGGGCUACACACGUGCUACAAUGGUGCGGACAAAGAGCAGCCACCUGGUGACAGGGAGCUAAUCUCUAAACCGCAUCUCAGUUCGGAUUGAAGUCUGCAACUCGACUUCAUGAAGCUGGAAUCGCUAGUAAUCGCGCAUCAGCCAUGGCGCGGUGAAUACGUUCCCGGGCCUUGUACACACCGCCCGUCAAACCAUGGAAGCUGGGGGUGCCUGAAGUCGGUAACCGCAAGGAGCCGCCUAGGGUAAAUCUGGUAACUAGGGUUAAGUCGUAACAAGGUAACC
This 1481-nucleotide ribosomal RNA is filed under the name uncultured prokaryote. Its description in RNAcentral is "partial 16S ribosomal RNA". It matches the Rfam family "Bacterial small subunit ribosomal RNA". The record is from RNAcentral.